This 482-nucleotide ribosomal RNA is filed under the name uncultured bacterium. RNAcentral describes it as "bacterial SSU rRNA". It matches the Rfam family "Bacterial small subunit ribosomal RNA", at positions 28 to 506 of the family's 1533-position model. The record is from RNAcentral.
GAUGAACGCUAGCGGCAGGCUUAAUACAUGCAAGUCGAGGGGCAGCACGGUUAGCAAUAACUGGUGGCGACCGGCGCACGGGUGCGUAACACGUAUACAAUCUACCUUAAACAGGGGGAUAGCCUUUCGAAAGAGAGAUUAAUACCCCGUAAUAAAUUGAACGGCAUCGUUUGAUUUUGAAAGCUCCGGCGGUUUGAGAUGAGUAUGCGUCUGAUUAGCUAGUUGGUGAGGUAACGGCUCACCAAGGCGACGAUCAGUAGGGGAUCUGAGAGGACUAACCCCCACACUGGUACUGAGACACGGACCAGACUCCUACGGGAGGCAGCAGUAAGGAAUAUUGGUCAAUGGAGGCAACUCUGAACCAGCCAUGCCGCGUGCAGGAUGACGGCCCUAUGGGUUGUAAACUGUCUUUUAUACAAGAGAAAACCCUGGUACGUGUACCGAGUUGAUAGUAUUGUAAGAAUAGCAUCGGCUAACUUCGU